RNAcentral lists this ribosomal RNA (403 nucleotides) under uncultured Caldilineaceae bacterium. RNAcentral describes it as "partial 16S ribosomal RNA". It matches the Rfam family "Bacterial small subunit ribosomal RNA", at positions 355 to 774 of the family's 1533-position model. Lineage: Bacteria; Bacillati; Chloroflexota; Caldilineae; Caldilineales; Caldilineaceae. The record is from RNAcentral.
UGAGGAAUAUUCGGCAAUGGGGGCAACCCUGACCGAGCAACGCCGCGUGGAGGAUGACGGUUUUCGGAUUGUAAACUCCUUUUCUCAGGGAAGAGUGAGGACGGUACCUGGGGAAUAAGUCACGGCUAACUACGUGCCAGCAGCCGCGGUAAUACGUAGGUGGCAAGCGUUAUCCGGAAUUACUGGGCGUAAAGCGCACGCAGGUGGUUUCUUAAGUUUGACGUGAAAGCUCUUGGCUUAACUGGGAGAAGUCGUUGAAGACUGGGAGACUUGAGGCGAGGAGAGGGGUGUAGAAUUCCCGGUGUAGUGGUGGAAUGCGUAGAGAUCGGGAGGAAUACCAGAGGCGAAAGCGGCACCCUGGCCUUGGCCUGACGCUCAGGUGCGAAAGCGUGGGGAGCGAACG